CCUACGGUGGGCAGCAGUCGAGAAUCAUUCACAAUGGGGGAAACCCUGAUGGUGCGACGCCGCGUGGGGUAAUGAAGGUCUUCGGAUUGUAAACCCCUGUCAUGUGGGAGCAAAUUAAAAAGAUAGUACCACAAGAGGAAGAGACGGCUAACUCUGUGCCAGCAGCCGAGGUAAUACAGAGGUCUCAAGCGUUGUUCGGAAUCACUGGGCGUAAAGCGUGCGUAGGCUGUUUCGUAAGUCGUGUGUGAAAGGCGCGGGCUCAACCCGCGGACGGCACAUGAUACUGCGAGACUAGAGUAAUGGAGGGGUAACUGGAAUUCUCGGUGUAGCAGUGAAAUGCGUAGAUAUCGAGAGGAACACUCGUGGCGAAGGCGGGUUCCUGGACAUUAACUGACGCUGAGGCACGAAGGCCAGGGGAGCGAAAGGGAUUAGAUACCCUUGUAGUC
Molecule: ribosomal RNA, 446 nt
Filed under: uncultured bacterium
Lineage: Bacteria
Description: partial 16S ribosomal RNA
Rfam family: Bacterial small subunit ribosomal RNA
Source: RNAcentral